Non-coding RNA from Myodes glareolus (Bank vole), 735 nucleotides. The record is from RefSeq and is a predicted model, not a curated record. Lineage: Eukaryota; Metazoa; Chordata; Mammalia; Rodentia; Cricetidae.
AUGGUGGAUUAUUAUGAAGUUCUGGGCAUGCAGAGACAUGCCUCACCUAAGGACAUUAAAAAGGCGUAUCGGAAACAGGCACUUAAAUGGUAUACGAACAAAAAUCCUGAAAAUAAAGAAGCAGCAGAGUGGAAAUUCAAGCAAGUAACUGAGGCAUAUAACAUAUGAUCAGAUGCAAAAAAAAAAAAAAGUGGGACAUCUAUGACAAAUACGGAAAAUAAGGAUUUAAUGGUGAAUGAGGAGGAGGUGGAAGUCAUUUCAACAGUCCGUUUGAGUUUGACUUCAUUUUCCAGAAUCCAGAUGAUGUCUUCAGGGAAUUUUUUGGUGGAAGGGACCCAUUUUCAUUUGACUUCUUUGAAGACCCAUUUGAUAACUUUUUGGGAGCCGAAGGGCUUCCCGAAGAAAUAGAAGCUGAGGUUCAGGCUCGUGGAUUUGCCUUCAGUGGAUUUCCUUCUUUUGGGGGUGGAUUUCCUGCUUCUGAUACAGGAUUCAGUUCGUUCCGGCCACUAGGACACGGGGGUCUCACUUCAUUCUCGUCAGCAUCAUUUGGUGGCAGCGGAAUGGGCAACUUCAAAUCAAUAUCAACUUCUACUAAGACAGUUGUUAAUGGCAAAAAAAAAAAAAUGACUACAAAGAGAAUUGUGGAGAACAGUCACAGAAGCUGAAGAAAAUGGACAGUUAAAGUUCUUGACGAUAAAUAGUAAGGGGCACCUGCUAUGCUUGGAUAACAAGUAA